UGCAGUCGAGCGAAUGGNNUGAGAGCUUGCUCUCAAGAAGUUAGCGGCGGACGGGUGAGUAACACGUGGGUAACCUGCCCAUAAGACUGGGAUAACUCCGGGAAACCGGGGCUAAUACCGGAUAACAUUUUGAACUGCAUAGUUCGAAAUUGAAAGGCGGCUUCGGCUGUCACUUAUGGAUGGACCCGCGUCGCAUUAGCUAGUUGGUGAGGUAACGGCUCACCAAGGCAACGAUGCGUAGCCGACCUGAGAGGGUGAUCGGCCACACUGGGACUGAGACACGGCCCAGACUCCUACGGGAGGCAGCAGUAGGGAAUCUUCCGCAAUGGACGAAAGUCUGACGGAGCAACGCCGCGUGAGUGAUGAAGGCUUUCGGGUCGUAAAACUCUGUUGUUAGGGAAGAACAAGUGCUAGUUGAAUAAGCUGGCACCUUGACGGUACCUAACCAGAAAGCCACGGCUAACUACGUGCCAGCAGCCGCGGUAAUACGUAGGUGGCAAGCGUUAUCCGGAAUUAUUGGGCGUAAAGCGCGCGCAGGUGGUUUCUUAAGUCUGAUGUGAAAGCCCACGGCUCAACCGUGGAGGGUCAUUGGAAACUGGGAGACUUGAGUGCAGAAGAGGAAAGUGGAAUUCCAUGUGCAGCGGUGAAAUGCGUAGAGAUAUGGAGGAACACCAGUGGCGAANGCGACUUUCUGGUCUGUAACUGACACUGAGGCGCGAAAGCGUGGGGAGCAAACAGGANUAGAUACCCUGGUAGUCCACGCCGUAAACGAUGAGUGCUAAGUGUUAGAGGGUUUCCNCCCUUUANUGCUGAAGUUAACGCAUUANNCACUCCNNCCUG
Molecule: ribosomal RNA, 840 nt
Filed under: uncultured bacterium
Lineage: Bacteria
Description: bacterial SSU rRNA
Rfam family: Bacterial small subunit ribosomal RNA
Source: RNAcentral